RNAcentral lists this ribosomal RNA (253 nucleotides) under uncultured bacterium. RNAcentral's name for it is "partial 16S ribosomal RNA". It matches the Rfam family "Bacterial small subunit ribosomal RNA", at positions 524 to 776 of the family's 1533-position model. The record is from RNAcentral.
UACGUAGGUGGCAAGCGUUGUCCGGAAUUAUUGGGCGUAAAGCGCGCGCAGGCGGUCCUUUAAGUCUGAUGUGAAAGCCUACGGCUCAACCGUGGAGGGUCAUUGGAAACUGGAGGACUUGAGUACAGAAGAGGAAAGCGGAAUUCCACGUGUAGCGGUGAAAUGCGUAGAGAUGUGGAGGAACACCAGUGGCGAAGGCGGCUUUCUGGUCUGUAACUGACGCUGAGGCGCGAAAGCGUGGGGAGCAAACAGG